CAGCAGCCGCGGGAAUACGAAGGGUGCAAGCGUUACUCGGAAUUACUGGGCGUAAAGCGUGCGUAGGUGGUGGUUUAAGUCUGCUGUGAAAUCCCCGGGCUCAACCUGGGAAUGGCAGUGGAUACUGGCUCGCUAGAGUGUGUCAGAGGAUGGUGGAAUUCCCGGUGUAGCGGUGAAAUGCGUAGAGAUCGGGAGGAACAUCAGUGGCGAAGGCGGCCAUCUGGGACAACACUGACGCUGAGGCACGAAAGCGUGGGGAGCAAACAGGAUUAGAUACCCCUGUAGUCCCUGUCUCUUAUAC
RNAcentral lists this ribosomal RNA (301 nucleotides) under uncultured bacterium. RNAcentral describes it as "partial 16S ribosomal RNA". It matches the Rfam family "Bacterial small subunit ribosomal RNA", at positions 509 to 807 of the family's 1533-position model. The record is from RNAcentral.